RNAcentral lists this ribosomal RNA (468 nucleotides) under uncultured bacterium. RNAcentral's name for it is "partial 16S ribosomal RNA". It matches the Rfam family "Bacterial small subunit ribosomal RNA", at positions 28 to 507 of the family's 1533-position model. The record is from RNAcentral.
GACGAACGCUGGCGGCGUGCUUAACACAUGCCAGUCGAACGGAAGGGCCCUGCUUUUGUGGGGUGCUCGAGUGGCGAACGGGUGAGUAACACGUGAGUAACCUGCCCUUGACUUUGGGAUAACUUCAGGAAACUGGGGCUAAUACCGGAUAGGAGCUCCUGCUGCAUGGUGGGGGUUGGAAAGUUUCGGCGGUUGGGGAUGGACUCGCGGCUUAUCAGCUUGUUGGUGGGGUAGUGGCUUACCAAGGCUUUGACGGGUAGCCGGCCUGAGAGGGUGACCGGCCACAUUGGGACUGAGAUACGGCCCAGACUCCUACGGGAGGCGGCAGUGGGGAAUAUUGCACAAUGGGCGGAAGCCUGAUGCAGCAACGCCGCGUGCGGGAUGACGGCCUUCGGGUUGUAAACCGCUUUCGCCUGUGACGAAGCGUGAGUGACGGUAAUGGGUAAAGAAGCACCGGCUAACUACGUG